CCUACGGGUGGCAGCAGGGAGGAAUAUUGGUCAAUGGACGGAAGUCUGAACCAGCCAUGCCGCGUGCAGGAUGACGGCUCUAUGAGGGGUAAACUGCGGUUGUAGGAGGGUAAACACCCCUACGUGUAGGGGCUUGAAAGUAUAAUACGAAUAAGGAUCGGCUAACUCCGUGCCAGCAGCCGCGGUAAUACGGAGGGUCCAAGCGUUAGCCGGAUUUAUUGGGUUUAAAGGGUGCGUAGGCGGUUUGAUAAGUUAGAGGUGAAAUACCGGUGCUCAACACCGGAACUGCCUCUCAUACUGUUGAACUAGAGCGUAGUUGCGGUAGGCGGAAUGUAUGGUGUAGCGGUGACAUGCUUAGAGAUCAUACAGAACCCCGAUUGCGAAGGCAGCUUACCAAACUAUAUCUGACGUUGAGGCACGAAAGCGUGGGUAGCAAACCGGAUUAGAUACCCGAGUAGUC
This 460-nucleotide ribosomal RNA is filed under the name uncultured bacterium. RNAcentral describes it as "partial 16S ribosomal RNA". It matches the Rfam family "Bacterial small subunit ribosomal RNA", at positions 338 to 795 of the family's 1533-position model. The record is from RNAcentral.